UACGUAGGGUGCGAGCGUUAAUCGGAAUUACUGGGCGUAAAGCGUGCGCAGGCGGCUUUGCAAGACAGAUGUGAAAUCCCCGGGCUCAACCUGGGAACUGCAUUUGUGACUGUAUAGCUAGAGUACGGCAGAGGGGGAUGGAAUUCCGCGUGUAGCAGUGAAAUGCGUAGAUAUGCGGAGGAACACCGAUGGCGAAGGCAAUCCCCUGGGCCUGUACUGACGCUCAUGCACGAAAGCGUGGGGAGCAAACAG
This 252-nucleotide ribosomal RNA is filed under the name uncultured bacterium. RNAcentral describes it as "partial 16S ribosomal RNA". It matches the Rfam family "Bacterial small subunit ribosomal RNA", at positions 524 to 775 of the family's 1533-position model. The record is from RNAcentral.